UACGAACCGUCUUUUCGGAUGUAGGUAUCGCCGUAUUAUGAAUAAGAUAGUGUUUAGGAAACUGGGUUCUUACAACGAAGCUCUACCACACGAUCUAGAGUAAGAAGAAUAAGUGACAGUCCUAAAUGCCUUGUAGCCUCCUGCUUAUAAGUGUGGUGCACGACACACCCAUAAACAAGACUAUACUAGACACGACUUGUAGACUCCCUAGGACAGAACUACUCUGAUACCACUUUUGCCACGACCCAAAUCGAUGGGCCACGACGGGCACCUAGUACCUUACUCAACCGAGUACCAACAUAGCGUAUCUUUUCGUAUCAUACUAUCAUAUAUAAGUGAGCUGGAGAGGCUGCCAUGAAAUAGGUAGAAUACAACAUGUAAUACCAACUUAUACAUAAGACAUAUGGGCCUCUAAGACCAAAAUAACCACUCGUACACUAAGCAUAGGCCGACAAGGCCAUUCAAUCUUUUACGUACAUGAUAUUUGUCUACAAUACUCUAAGUAUACAUAAUUGUCAUAAAGGUCGGGACAGAGUCUCGCCAUACCGAACAAUAUACAUCUAAAUAAUAUUGACCAAACAAGCAACUCUGGAGCAAAUGGAGUGCACCAAGAUCUUCCACUAAGCUAAUCGCCUACAUAGAGGACUCUCGACCUGUCUAUCGAGACCUACGAGCAUGAAAUGCAGCGUCCCCAGAAAAAAGAGACGUCAGUACAAAUAACAUACCGAGUAUGUAAGGAAUGAAAAUGAGUAAAUAAUAGACAUCAGAGAAAUAUGGAGUACAAAACUUGACAUGUAUGUCUGCAUAGCUCUGUGAAUCAUUUCAUUUUUAUGAUAUUAUGCAUAUGCAUAUAAAUGUCAGGCCAUGCAUAGGAAUAUGCGUUCAUAACAUCAUCAAGCCUCUGAGGUCAUUCAUCGUAUCAUUUCGAUCACUGUGGGCAAAUUAUAAACCUAUACCAACUGAUCAAGUGGUGGUGCGUAUAUAAUACCAAAACCUUUUCCCAUAGCCCAUAUACACAUAUACGCGUACAUAAUGCCAUCUAGUCAUGGGUCAAUGUGCAUGUAUAAAUGCAUGAAAUGCAUAUGAAAUAUGUUAAUAAAAUCCCUCGGUACGUCAUAAGGCCAUUAUGCCUCUGAUUAAUAUCAUAAAAUAAACUUUAUCAACUUACGUAUUUUCUGAGACCCAUGAAUAGAUGAUAGAAUAAUAGGACACAUGGAGAAUCAAGAACAUAUGCACCUCUAAUAUUUCUAUGAAUAAAGUUAUUUUUGGAAGUUGUGCAUUUACUCGUUUAGUAUGUGUCGUAUAUAUCAUGCCAAAAGAAAUAAGGGAUAGCCUUAACAUACCUGAGCUGGUUCUCUUAACAAUUACUCUAACAUCGUUGAUUGCGAUAACACGUAACGGCGAAUUGAAGUAGGGAAAAAUUCGUAUGAUAUUGUUGAGAAAGAUUACACCGUACUCCCUUAAAAUAGUAAAAUCCCAUUGUCACACCUCCUUUUUCUACCCCGAAAGAGGUAUAGGGGAGUUUUUCCAAUUAGAUUGACAAAAAUCGAAAUAGGAUUAUUUAUUCAAAUUAAGAGUCGCCAAUUGGGAUAUUUUUUGGUGUCCCAAGACACCGGUUUAUAAUAUCGAGUCGAGGAAGUUUGACUCUGUUUUACAGUUCGCAGAAGAUAGAAAUCUGGGCAAGGAAUUUUGUUAAUCCGGGAGAAGGUGUUAGGCAUUCCUGGGUUCUGUGGUUUUAGCACAGUCGCUCAACUAUUAUUUUUUGGCUUAAUUAUCUGAUUAAUUACAUAUUUUAAACCUAUUGUGUAUUUUUACCCGUUUACUGCUUUUAAUUGUUUAUGGAAUUAUUCUAGAACAAGUUACAGUUGUUGUACACCUGUUUGUUUGGUACACAUUGCGAAUCGUAUCACGGUAACCGUACCCACAAUUUACACCAUAAUUAAAUUAUUAACAAUAUUAGUUGUUAUGGCCGGGUCAUAUAAAUGUACCCCCGGAUUUGGAAAUUAUGUACCAUAACAACGUCACAGGAACAGUAUCAAUAGCUAUGAUAAUUUUAUUAUAAACGCGCCUAAAGUGAACUACGAAUGUUCAAAGUUUUUCUACACUAGUUACGAAUGUUUUAAGUUUUUCCAUACUAGUUUUUGCAUUAAUAUAAAGGCCAUAGAUAGGUAUUCAUUUAUGAAUGAUAUGCCUCGAUUUAUUUCAAAAAAGAUUCAUACUCAACUACAGCAAACUAAGAAUUUUUAUAUUUAAAACUAAUUUGAAAUUAGCUAUCACAACUACGCUACGGGAACCGUACCCGUAGUUGUGGUGAUUCAAUUACGUGCUGAAAGCAAACUACGAAAGUUCAUACUUACCUCCUAAAUUAAUUCGCGGUUUAUUGACAGGCCACAUAUUAUAACUAAGGAGUCCAAAGUUGUGCAUGCUUUUAACCAUUGAAAUAUUGGGCCAUCAAGAGGCCUGUUAUAUAUGCAAAUCUUUGAGGAAGAUACGGGUUGCGGAUUUGGGCUCGAAAUUGAGCCCAAAAGUUAAAGAAAUCGGGAGCCAAAACCCAUUGAGCCUGGCUCCAAACACGCUGUCUCAUCUGGGCCAGAAAUGGGCCCAGUUUUUCCCAGCAUGAGAGCCUUUGAUAUUAAGGCCCACUUGAGACUUAACCUCUUCUAAAUCACAUGUAACACAAAAUGUUAUAAAAUUUUUGGAGAAAAAAAUCAAAGGCUGACCAAACAUAUUUUGCAUCUAAUUUAUCACAUGCCAUUAGUAACAAUAUAAAACUACUUAACCCAAAUUACCAAUUAAUUACAUUGAAAAAAUGUGGGUAAUUACUUCACUUGCAACCAGAGGUUCAAAUAUCACGUGACAAUUUAACAUUGAAUAUCCUUUGGAAUUGUAUGGGCUUAGACCCAAUUUACCAGAGACAAUGCACUAAUAUGAAAAAUGCCCAUGCCUUAUUAUCAAAUACUACAGUUGAACAAACUAAAUGCAAUGAAUUAAAACAUGGCCUUCGGAAGAAAGCUAAUCUCCAUAUAGCAAGGCAAUUUUGGAAAGGUGUGUGCGUAACAAACUGUCACAAAAGGAGUAGAAUCAUUUCCAUACAACUUGAUGUUUUCCUAAACCAUUAACCAACCCCUAAACCUUAUGACUCAUGCUAAGUAAAGCAGAAUGGACAUAGAAGGGACUAAAAGUGGAUCCUUAGGUCAGUAAUACACACAGUUCGUACGCAACACAAGGAUGAGGCAAAAAUCAGUGGAUACCAGGUUCUUUAUUUAAUGUUCUCAUAACUUCAAAUGUUAAACAGAGACAGAAUUUAGGAUAGAUUUAAACUUAUCUAGGUUGAACUUAAGACCAAAAUGAAUCCAAAAUAGCAGUUCCAGAACUUAACAGAACAAGGGAGCACAUGUCCACAACCAAACUUUCACUUAAAAUUCAACAAAACAAAAGAAAACUUAACAAAAAUAUUACAGGUGCACACUUAACAAAUUCAUCCUAUAUUACUAUUCAAACAGGGCUGAAUGAAAUCGCUAUACACGCCUCAGACGUUAAACAGAAUUGCAGAGAAGAUGAAGUGUAAGAAAGAAGCCACAGUCACAUGAAUCUUAUGUACCAAACACGAAUCUUCAUCUACUAGUAAAAGACAACACAUGAUAUUAACUAACCAAGAAAAGAGUUACAUGAGUUAACAAAACAUAAGGGCUAAUUACUGAUGACAUUGCUGUAUUAGUCUCAAAACAUUCAUAUCAUCACAUUUAACUUGCAGCUCAAGGUUUCAAGGUGGUACCUGGAUACAACAAGCACAACAAGAAAGUAUGUUUAGAAAUCAACAAGGUGUGAUGGACUCAGCAGCAAGGAACAACAGUAAUAAUCAAACCAACUCCAUUAUCAAAUCAUAGCUCAACUAAAGAACCCAAAAAAUCAAAAAGAAAAUGUUUUCCCAAACUUUGUAAAGAGUUAGUAAGUAGAGAAUUGAGCUGGAUUUUUUGAGAGGUUUUUAGAGUCUGUUCUCCGCCCCUUCAGUGAGGGGAAAGUUCUACGUAUAUAGGAGAUGAGAAAAAACCCAUGUGCUCUCCCUAAAUUUCAAGGAAAAAGAAUCUUUUCUAACCAAUUUUUACAGUUGUCCCACCCUUUAUCAAAAUUCAGC
This 4135-nucleotide long non-coding RNA is filed under the name Nicotiana tabacum (common tobacco). Its description in RNAcentral is "long non-coding RNA (NTAB_LNC004251)". The record is from RNAcentral. Lineage: Eukaryota; Viridiplantae; Streptophyta; Magnoliopsida; Solanales; Solanaceae.